GAUGAACGCUGGCGGCGUGCCUAAUACAUGCAAGUCGAGCGAACGGACGAGAAGCUUGCUUCUCUGAUGUUAGCGGCGGACGGGUGAGUAACACGUGGAUAACCUACCUAUAAGACUGGGAUAACUUCGGGAAACCGGAGCUAAUACCGGAUGAUAUUUUGAACCGCAUGGUUCAAAAGUGAAAGACGGUCUUUCUUUCACUUAUAGAUGGAUCCGCGCUGCAUUAGCUAGUUGGUAAGGUAACGGCUUACCAAGGCAACGAUGCAUAGCCGACCUGAGAGGGUGAUCGGCCACACUGGAACUGAGACACGGUCCAGACUCCUACGGGAGGCAGCAGUAGGGAAUCUUCCGCAAUGGGCGAAAGCCUGACGGAGCAACGCCGCGUGAGUGAUGAAGGUCUUCGGAUCGUAAAACUCUGUUAUUAGGGAAGAACAUAUGUGUAAGUAACUGUGCACAUCUUGACGGUACCUAAUCAGAAAGCCACGGCUAACUACGUG
RNAcentral lists this ribosomal RNA (497 nucleotides) under uncultured bacterium. Its description in RNAcentral is "partial 16S ribosomal RNA". It matches the Rfam family "Bacterial small subunit ribosomal RNA", at positions 28 to 507 of the family's 1533-position model. The record is from RNAcentral.